RNAcentral lists this ribosomal RNA (445 nucleotides) under uncultured bacterium. RNAcentral's name for it is "partial 16S ribosomal RNA". It matches the Rfam family "Bacterial small subunit ribosomal RNA", at positions 354 to 796 of the family's 1533-position model. The record is from RNAcentral.
GUAGGGAAUAUUGGGCAAUGGAGGCAACUCUGACCCAGCCAUGCCGCGUGCAGGAUGACGGCCCUCUGGGUUGUAAACUGCUUUUAUACGGGAAGAAAAAAUACUACGUGUCGUAUACUGACGGUACCGUAAGAAUAAGGAUCGGCUAACUCCGUGCCAGCAGCCGCGGUAAUACGGAGGCUCCAAGCGUUGUCCGGAUUUAUUGGGUUUAAAUGGUGCGUAGGCGGAUCUUUAAGUCAGUGGUGAAAGCCUGCAGCUUAACUGUAGAAUUGCCAUUGAAACUGAAGGUCUUGAAUGUGAUUAGAGUAGGCGGAAUGUAUCAUGUAGAGGUGAAAUGCUUAGAUGUGAUACAGAACAGCGAUAGCGAAGGCAGCGUGCUGAACCAUUAUUGACGCUGAGGCACGAAAGCGUGGGGAGCGAACAGGAUGAGAAACCCGUGUAGUCC